AGGGAGAGGAUAGAUGGAGAGGAGAUGAUAGAGGGAGAGGAUAGAGGGAUAGAGGGAUAGGAGAUGAUAGAGUGAUAGGAGAUAGAGGGAGAGGAUAUAGGGAUUGACGGAUAGGAGAUGAUAGAGGGAUAGGAGAGGAUAGAGGGAGAGGAUAGAGGGAUAGAGGGAUAGGAGAUGAUAGAGGGAGAGGAUAGAGGGAUAGGAGAUGAUAGAGGGAGAGGAUAGGAGAUGAUAGAGGGAUAGGAGAUGAUAGAGGGAGAGGAUAGAGGGAUAGAGGGAUAGGAGAUGAUAGAGGGAGAGGAUAGAGGGAUAGGAGAUGAUAGAGGGAGAGGAUAGGAGAUGAUAGAGGGAGAGGAGAUGAUAGAGGGAUAUGAGAGGAUAGAGGGAGAGAAUAGUGGGGUAGGAGAUGAUAGAGGGAUAGGAGAUGACAGAGGGAGAGGAUUUAGGGAGAGGAGAUUGUAGAGGGAGAGGAUAGAGGGAUAGGAGAUGAUAGAGGGAGAGAAUAGUGGGAUGUGAGACAUGGACAAGGACAAUGUCAGGGACAGAAACACGUGGAUCAGUUGAAAGAAAUGUCUCAAACUAGACUGCUACCAAGGGACCAUCGUAAAAAUCUUCACCUCUCCUCUCUACCGCUCUUCACCUCUCCUUCUCCCCCUCUCUCUCCUUUCCUCCCCCGAUCCAUCUCCUAUCUUCCUUUGCCCCUGCUGUGGGGUAAUGUUUUGCUAAAUGUUUUAGUAUGAGUAUGGGGGACUGUGAGAACCCUAAAAUCACCCCUCUUCUCCUGGAUGUGUUCCCAGUGCUUUGAAAGAGGUCAAAGGUCAUACCUAACUGAUCCCGGACUAUGGUAGAAACCAGAAAAAAAGUAUGGUAGACACCAGGAGCCAGGAAGGGUAGACACCAGGAGUCAGGUAUGAUGACACCAGAAGCCAGGUAGGGGAGACACCAGGAGUCAGGUAUGAUGACACCAGAAGCCAGGUAUGAUGAAACCAGAAGCCAGGUAUGAUGACACCAGGAGCCAGGAAGGGUAAAAAAUAAGGGGCCAGGAAGGGUAGACACCAGGAGCCAGGAAGGGUAGACACCAGGAGUCAGGAAGGAUAGACACCAGGAGCCAGGAAGGGUGGACACCAGGAGCCAGGUAGGGUAGACACCAGGAGCCAGGUAGGGUAGACACCAGGAUCCAGGUAGGGUAGACACCAGAAGCCAGGUAUGGUAGACACCAGAAGCCAGGUAUGGUAGACACCAGAAGACAGGUAUGGUAGACACCAGAAGACAGGUAUGGUAUACACCAAAAGACAGAUAUGGUAGACACCAGAAGACAGGAAUUGUAGACACCAGAAGACAGGUAUGGUAGACACCAGAAGAGAGGUAUUGUAGACACCAGAAGCCAGGUAUGGUAGACACCAGAAGCCAGGUAUGGUAGACACCAGAAGACAGGUAGACACCAGAAGACAGGUAUGGUAGACACCAGAAGAGAGGUAUGGUAUACACCAAAAGACAGGUAGACACCAGAAGACAGGAAUGGUAGACACCAGAAGACAGGUAUUGUAGAUGGAGGCCUGAUCUAAUGAAAUGUCAUGGAGGCCUGAUCUAUAGAACUGACAUGGAGGCCCGAUCUAAUGAACUGACAUGGAGGCCUGAUCUAUAGAACUGACAUGGAGGCCUGAUCUAAUGAACUGACAUGGAGGCCUGAUCUAAUGAACUGACAUGGAGGCCUGAUCUAUAGAACUGACAUGGAGGCCUGAUCUAAUGAACUGACAUGGAGGCCUGAUCUAUAGAACUGACAUGGAGGCCUGAUCUAAUGAACUGACAUGGAGGCCUGAUCUAUAGAACUGACAUGGAGGCCUGAUCUAUAGAACUGACAUGGAGGCCUGAUCUAUAGAACUGACAUGGAGGCCCGAUCUAUAGAACUGACAUGGAGGCCUGAUCUAUAGAACUGACAUGGAGGCCUGCUCUAAUGUGCUGACAUGGAGGCCUGAUCUAAUGAACUGAUAUGGAGGCCUGAUCUAAUGAACUGACAUGGAGGCCUGAUCUAAUGAACUGUCAUGGAGGCCUGAUCUAAUGAACUGACAUGGAGGCCUGAUCUAAUGAACUGACAUGGAGGCCUGAUCUAUAGAACUGACAUGGAGGCCUGAUCUAAUGAACUGACAUGGAGGCCUGAUCUAAUGAACUGACAUGGAGGCAGAGACCUUUUCUUUUCAGAACUUCCCUCCAUUGAUCUGCCCCGUUGGCAGUGUAGUCUGGUACGUUGCCUCCCCUGCGCCGAGGUGGCGCCGUCGCCCACAAAAUCAAACAUGGCUGCCAGUGCUUGGUGUUGUCACUCUCAGUGGCAUUGAGCGGGUGCCAGCGGCGGGCAUUCCUUCACCGGAGUUAGCAUUCAGUCUGCAUAGGGCAAGUCAAGCAGGCUUUAGUGUCCCACCCAACCAGAGUCACCACUCUGUGGUGGGGGAUACAAAUGUGGCGAGUCAAUGAAAGUCUCUCUCUCUCACACACACACACACACACACUCAGACAGUCAGACACACACACACACACACUCUCACACACACACACACACACACACACAAUCACUUAGUUAGAAAGUACCAUUCAGGGACACAUCUAGUGAGUUAGACAGGGGCUUUCAAAGAAAUACAUUUAGAAAGAGUCACAUGGUUGCACAUCCACAGAAUGGAGGAACGUGCCCUCAUUCCCCAAUGGCAUGCCAACUUCUCUAUUAGUGUCUGAGCUUUUCCAUGUGAUUUGUGUUCACCAGAAUUAAAUGACAUCAUGUUCAUCACCAUCCGAUGACAUCAUGUUCACCACUAUCCGAUGACGUCGUGUUCACCAUUAUUCGAUGACGUCAUACCGACAUUAUAAGAUUGCAACUGUAAAAAAGUCAAACACCUGAGCUGAUGCACACCCCAAAAUGUGAUGCGGACUAACGGACAAUAAACUGCUGAAAAAAGAAAGAAAGCAACCACGAUGCGUUGGUUAUUAAGUUCAUCAAUUGGUUAUGAAGCAUGAACACGACCUUGUGCCGUUUCAGUGAGCUGUCAUUACAUGGAGAGUCAUCCAAUGUUUAAAAUGAAAUAUCGUUGGACUGUUCAUCCUAACAUUCACUAAAACAUUGUGCACAUGUUCUAAUAGCACAAAACUCUCCAUUUGUGGUGAUGAUUAUAGAAUAUUUAUAUAAAACCAUUUGCCCGAUGUUGCAAAUACAUUCCUGUAAUAUGUUUAAUCUGUUCUUUGAAAGUUCCCAGAAUGUUUCUUUAGUUGGGUUAACAUUGUGGGGUCAAGAAAGGAGAUAUAUAUUCACAAAACACAAAAUCUGUCCAGGUGUGUAGACAUUCAGAUAAUAUUUGUAUUAGGGUGAACAGAACGUUCCUUUGAUUCCUUACUCCCCUACUCCACCACUACCACAUAUCUACAACACACUGUGUGUCCUCAGGUCCCCUACUCCACCACUACCACAUAUCUACAACACACUGUGUGCCCUCAGGCCCCUACUCCACCACUACCACAUAUCUAUAACACACUGUGUGCCCUCUGGCCCCUCCUCCACCACUACCACAUAUCUACAACACACUGUGUGCCCUCUGGCCCCUCCUCCACCACUACCACAUAUCUACACAACACACUGUGUGUCCUCAGGCCCCUCCUCCACCACUACCACCAUAUCUACAACACACUGUGUGUCCUCAGGCCCCUCCUCCACCACUACCACAUAUCUACAACACACUGUGUGUCCUCAGGCCCCUCCUCCACUACUACCACAUAUCUACAACACACUGUGUGCCCUCAGGCCCCUCCUCCACUACUACCACAUAUCUACAACACACUGUGUGUCCUCAGGCCCCUCCUCCACCACUACCACAUAUCUACAACACACUGUGUGCCCUCAGGCCCCUCCUCCACCACUACCACAUAUCUACAACACACUGUGUGCUCUCAGGCCCCUCCUCCACCUAGAAAGCAGCAUGGAAUACAUCCCCAUUAUGUGAUAUAGUCGUUUUGAGCGAUUAAACAAAAUGUGGUUUAUUAUUAUUAUUAUUUUUUUUAUUAAUUAAAGAACUAACGGAUCAACAUCGGUUUAAUUAUUUAAAUUCCAUUUCGUUCUGUUUUUUUCCUCCUGUGAUCUCAAUGUGCACAUUGCACGGUUUCUUUAAAGAUGAAGCAGAUCAAGCCCGAACUGAGAGAUGUAGUAAGGAGUUGCAGUUUCCAACAGGCCAAAAUUCUACAUAGUUUAUCAGAUGUAGUAGGGAGUUGUAGUUUCCAACAGGCCAGCAUUCUACAUAGUUUAUCAGAUGUAGUAGGGAGUUGUAGUUUCCAACAGGCCAGCAUUCUACAUAGUUUAACAGAUGUAGUAG
Long non-coding RNA from Oncorhynchus tshawytscha (Chinook salmon), 4346 nucleotides. Lineage: Eukaryota; Metazoa; Chordata; Actinopteri; Salmoniformes; Salmonidae. The record is from Ensembl.